This 74-nucleotide transfer RNA is filed under the name Candidatus Symbiopectobacterium sp. 'North America'. RNAcentral describes it as "tRNA-Gly". It matches the Rfam family "tRNA". From Rfam's summary of the family: Transfer RNA (tRNA) molecules are approximately 80 nucleotides in length. Their secondary structure includes four short double-helical elements and three loops (D, anti-codon, and T loops). The record is from RNAcentral. Lineage: Bacteria; Pseudomonadati; Pseudomonadota; Gammaproteobacteria; Enterobacterales; Enterobacteriaceae.
GCGAGUGUAGUUCAAUGGUAGAAUGAGAGCUUCCCAAGCUCUAUACAAGGGUUCGAUUCCCUUCACUCGCUCCA